UCCAUUUUAGUAUCUUACAACUAUUGUUAGUCAUAUUGACGUUCAGUAUGUUGUUUAACAAGUUCGUAAACUUUUAUGUUAUUUUGAAAGAGGAAUUCAAGCGCCUACGAGGGAAAACUGUGCUUUGCAUACAAAAACAAACAGCUUUGGACAAGCAUAUAGGCUUGGAUCCGGUUAACUGGUUAAGUAAGAUUUCCAGAUUCUUAAGCUGAAAAAUCUAGAUUCAAUGAAGCAAUUCAGUUGCCUCGAAAAAUGAAGGGUCAGAACGUUUGUGGUGUUUAUGAAUCUCUCCGUUUGGAUGAAAACCGAGUAAAAUACUAAAGAUUUUAGAGAUAAGAUGUUAGCUGUUAGAGAAGCUUUUUGGACACGAGACGACCACUUGAUAUUCCCUCGGCACUUCCUUUUAAGGACUAAAAGGAAAAAAUGCGAGCCAACAAUCAAUCUCGCAUUAGAGUAGACUCUGGAGAAUUCUGAAUUCGUCAAAGAGGGUUUUUUAUGCAGAGAAACAUAACUUCAAGAAGAGAUUUAUCUGCCAAUGAGAAAAUGAAAGGUCAGGUAAACAAAUAAACUCCUAAUACAUACUACUUUCAAAAUACACUCAAACGCAACAACCUCAAAUACAACAUAACAAACGAGCAGGAAAAAAACACACACCACAAAGUAAAUAAAUCACAACGUCGUGUGAGUUUCUAUAUUAUACAUGUAAAACGUUGUGUAAACCAAUAUACAUUCUUUAAAAACUUUUAUCCUUUUAUAUUAUGUAUAUAAAAACCAAUAUACAUUGUAUUAUAUAUUAUAUAUUUAUACACAAAUCGCCUUAAAUCACAUACAUGACGACUAGUCCCUAGCUCUUUCUUUCUUGAACACUGAUUAUUAUAACACAAUCAGAUAUGUAAAAUUAAUGAUAAUUCUUCUUAGAUUUGUUUUUGCAGAAGCUAAAUUUUAACGGAUUAUCCAAAUUAUAUUCAAAUCAUCCAAGGAAUAAUGCGGUUCCAAUAAAAUCAUAAACUCAGCACAAGAACAACAGUUUCAGUGGGAAAAAAGCCUCUCUGCCUUUAUCUGUUUUCUUUUGGACUUUACGAAGGAGAAAGCUUGGAACUAUUAAGUUCCUACACUGAAGAAAGUGGAGAAACGGGCAUGGGUCAUGUUCCCAUAUUCUUGGAACAAGGAAAGUAAUCAUUAGCGUUGACUUUUCGUAUCGCCUACAAAAACUUGGGCUUUUCUAAUUUGUAGGCCCGAGAAAGACAACCUAAUUUUCCACUUACGUGACAUAUAAGUUUACAAGUGAUCUCUAGGGUUUCAUAAAACAGAGGCGAUGAAGAGAGGACACGAAGAGACCUCACUAUCGUCGACACUACGACUUCUUCACUGUGGAGAUAUCCAAUUACCCCUCCAUGUUACGGUUGAAAUACUAAAAAGACUUCCGGUGAAAUCUCUUUUGAGGUUCCUAUGCGUUUCGAAGGUCAUCAACUAUUAGUAGACUUCGAGACUUCAUAGAAUCGAUUGUGAGUCGUUCUUUGGCUCAGCCUCCACGUGAUGCUUAUUUCAUCUACGGCCACACUUCAAACAAUUACAUGGAAUGUUUCUUCUUCUUUGGUUUUUGUACAACGUACGUUAGUGUCGAGAUGUGUAAGGGUUAUUUAUUGUACUAAUUAAUCAAAACGGUCUCGAGACUUAUAAUUAUAGUCAUAAGUUGAUAGUUCAU
Molecule: RNA transcript, 1705 nt
Organism: Arabidopsis thaliana (thale cress)
Lineage: Eukaryota; Viridiplantae; Streptophyta; Magnoliopsida; Brassicales; Brassicaceae
Exons: 7
Source: RefSeq